This 1344-nucleotide ribosomal RNA is filed under the name uncultured bacterium. Its description in RNAcentral is "bacterial SSU rRNA". It matches the Rfam family "Bacterial small subunit ribosomal RNA", at positions 28 to 1382 of the family's 1533-position model. The record is from RNAcentral.
GACGAACGCUGGCGGCGCGCCUAACACAUGCAAGUCGAACGGAGCUUAGAGAGCUCGCUUUUUAAGCUUAGCGGCGAAACGGGUCGAGUAACGCGUGAGUAACCUCGCCCUAGAGUCGGGGGAACAACAGUUGGAAACGACUGCUAAUACCGCAUAAGCCCACGGUGCCGCAUGACACUGAGGGAAAAGGAUUUAUUCGCUUUAGGAUGGACUCGCGUCCAAUUUAGCUAGUUGGUGAGGUAACGGCCCACCAAGGCGACGAUUGGUAGCCGGACUGAGAGGUUGAACGGCCACAUUGGGACUGAGACACGGCCCAGACUCCUACGGGAGGCAGCAGUGGGGGAUAUUGCACAAUGGGGGAAAACCCUGAUGCAGCGACGCCGCGUGGAGGAAGAAGGUUUUCGGAUUGUAAACUCCUGUCGUUAGGGACGAUAAUGACGGUACCUAACAAGAAAGCACCGGCUAACUACGUGCCAGCAGCCGCGGUAAAACGUAGGGUGCAAGCGUUGUCCGGAAUUACUGGGUGUAAAGGGAGCGCAGGCGGGAAGACAAGUUGGAAGUGAAAACCAUGGGCUCAACCCAUGAAUUGCUUUCAAAACUGUUUUUCUUGAGUAGUGCAGAGGUAGAUGGAAUUCCCGGUGUAGCGGUGGAAUGCGUAGAUAUCGGGAGGAACACCAGUGGCGAAGGCGGUCUACUGGGCACCAACUGACGCUGAGGCUCGAAAGCAUGGGUAGCAAACAGGAUUAGAUACCCUGGUAGUCCAUGCCGUAAACGAUGAUUACUAGGUGUUGGGGGAUUGACCCCCUCAGUGCCGCAGUUAACACAAUAAGUAAUCCACCUGGGGAGUACGACCGCAAGGUUGAAACUCAAAGGAAUUGACGGGGGCCCGCACAAGCAGUGGAGUAUGUGGUUUAAUUCGAAGCAACGCGAAGAACCUUACCAGGUCUUGACAUCCGAUGCAUAGCACAGAGAUGUGUGAAAUCCUUCGGGACAUCGAGACAGGUGGUGCAUGGUUGUCGUCAGCUCGUGUCGUGAGAUGUUGGGUUAAGUCCCGCAACGAGCGCAACCCUUAUUGCCAGUUACUACGUUAAGAGGACUCUGGCGAGACUGCCGUUGACAAAACGGAGGAAGGUGGGGAUGACGUCAAAUCAUCAUGCCCUUUAUGACCUGGGCUACACACGUACUACAAUGGCGUUAAACAAAGAGAAGCAAGACCGCGAGGCGGAGCAAAACUCAAAAACAACGUCUCAGUUCAGAUUGCAGGCUGCAACUCGCCUGCAUGAAAGUCGGAAUUGCUAGUAAUCGCGGAUCAGCAUGCCGCGGUGAAAUACGUUCCCGGGCCCU